Molecule: long non-coding RNA, 391 nt
Filed under: Olea europaea (common olive)
Lineage: Eukaryota; Viridiplantae; Streptophyta; Magnoliopsida; Lamiales; Oleaceae
Description: long non-coding RNA (OEUR_LNC005277)
Source: RNAcentral
UCGAACACAAGCACACACGCACACCCAUUCACUCAUUCCCUUGCACACACUUCACUUGCACACGUCUCAUUUCAUCCUCUACACUUACACCCAUUUCACACACUCUUCAUUCAAUUGGAUUGGAUUCUACAUUGAGGUGCCACAUUUCAUUUAACAAGAAAAUUGGAACUACAAGGUAUGUUCUUCUAAUCCCUAAUUUUGAGCUUCAUUUUCCGGUUAUCAUUCAUUGUGUUGGCAUUAGUUAGAAGGAAUAAGGUAGUUUGACAUGGUGUUGUGAAUUGGGGGCAAUUUCAUGGUGGUGUUUUGUAAGAAAUAGGAAGUAAUUCACAUUGCACACCAAGUGUUCGACGAAAUGCCACAUUAACGCAUGUUUUGAUUUUUUGGGCUUUUC